GGGUGGUUGCCCGAGGCUGGGGAGAGGGGCGCAGAGAGCGACUGCUUAACAGAUAUGGGGUUUUCUUUUGGGGUGAUGAAGAUGUUUUGGGUCUUAAUAUACUGAGUGGUUGGGCAACAUUAUGAACAUACUAAGUGCCACUGAAUCGUACACUUUAAAACAGUUACUUUUAUGUUAUCAGGAUUUCACCUCAAUACAGUUUUUUUUAAAAAAGCUAAUAUUCUUGGGCACGUGGAUUCUUCCAUGCAAUUCCAGACCAAUGGCCUGGACCCCAAGGCCUUGCAAGGUGUCUUCUUUCAGGGCCUCCAAAGCCCAGGCUUUCAACCACCACCCUGGGAUCCCCCUCAUCUGUGAACAAGGCUCGGGGACAUGCCGGCCGCCAGCACCUCCUCACCCAGAGAGCUCAGCGCAAGGGCCUCUCCGACCUCGGAACUCCAGGGGCCCCCAGUCCACUUCCCAACAACUCACCUUGUGCAUCAGAUUGGUAGUGACGCAGGGGUGAGUGAGAAGCAGGGCAGGGACCCUCGGCUGCUGUCCUCCCCUGUGUCCUCGGCACCUGGCAGCAUCCCCACUCAAUCCCCCAGUGCUGCUGGGGCCCAAUUUCUGAUAACGGCAAUGAUUCUGGGGAGGAAAUAGGCAGUGAUUUGGGAGGAAAACAGAGUUUAAGUGUCAAUAAUUUAAAAGAUACGAGGCAUUGAUCCUGUCCGCGGUAAUGGGGCUGUCAGCUGGCACUGCGCAGGAUCCGAGCCCUCCGCCGUGCCCGACGCCGCGGCGAGCCCAGGCGGGCGCAUGUGUCCCCUUCCCCUCCAGAAGACCGGCCCGCGGGGACUGGCGAGCUCCGGGAAUCGCGCCUCGGGGCGGGGGCCUUCUCGCUCCCGCUUUGAUCGCUGGAGGCGCGGGCUGGUUCAGAGGCCGGUUGCAGGGGUCCGCGCCGAGGAGACCCGCCCCCACCCGCGGCGACACGGAGGCCAGGGCGCCCGCGCCUGGCGCCGCGCCCUGCUCGGUGCCCGCCCGGGCCCACCUCUCCGGGCACGCUGCCAAGUGACCCGCCCCAUCAGUCCCCAGGUCUCCCGAGGAAGGAAACAAAGAUUGAAAAUGAAACCCUACCCAGCGGGGCGCUUCCACGUUGGGCUGGUUUGCUGUUUGGGGGUUCUCCAUGCUCCCCCAGCUUGGGCGGGGAGGAGCACAGUUGAGAGCCGAUGCCAGGCUCCCCUCCUGCUCUCCCUGCGCCCCAGGGAGCACGGCCCACCAAGCCGGGGGAAGCCCACCGGGACCCGCAGUUACUUUUAUUGAUUUUCUGGUGAUGUGACAACCAAAAAUGGAGGCGUGGUGCGCAGUAGAAAAAGGCCAGGCGAUGCAGAAGAUGCAAGAAAACAAACCUCCGAAACAAAGGCGUGCACCCAGCUUAGACAUUCCCAGGCGGGCUUGGAAUUUUCCAGCCCUUGGAAAGUCUCUUUCUUUCAAGUCGAAGCUUUUGACCAAAGCUGUCGGUUUCCUCCAAGCCAUUUCACUGAACCUGUCUCCAAAAAUCACUUUGUAAACAAAGGCAAAGCCAGGGGCUGACCCAAGGUCCGCGAGCAGCAGCAAGGCUGACAUAUUUUAGACAAAUCACAGCGGCCAACUUCCUGUCGGGCCCCAUCUCUCCGGGGACACCCCGCCUCCACCUCUGCCCGAUUCAGGUAACUGGAUGGAUGGAACCUCCUUCACGGCCUCUCCCAGCCGAACUCCUCAUAACCCAAUGCAUAAAUAAUCACAUGUUUUAUAAAUAGCUGUGGACAAGAGGCUGUAAACCAACGAAGAUAUAUUUGUGCCUUUAUGUCCUGGAAAUAUUUUUCUAAAACGACUGUUUUAUUUGGUGUGGGUUGAAUGGGGGCGUGUGUAUACAUAAGGAUCCCCAAAGUUUUGCCGUGCCCCCCCUCAGGUCAGACCAGCCCUAUAGUUAGCAAAUUGAUAAGGUUCCAUGGGCAAGCUUUAUUCGCUCUGACACGAGCCUAUGACACUUUAUAAAAAGAAGUAAUCCAGAACAAUCUCUAGGUAAUUAACACCUAGAUAAACAAACAUAAAUUUCUAUAUUGCAUUUAUUUGGACUACCACUCAAAUAUGCGUGAACCAUGCUUUUUUAAUUAAAAGAUAAAUCCAUGUGA
Molecule: long non-coding RNA, 2144 nt
Organism: Equus caballus (horse)
Lineage: Eukaryota; Metazoa; Chordata; Mammalia; Perissodactyla; Equidae
Source: RefSeq, a predicted model, not a curated record